Molecule: long non-coding RNA, 2194 nt
Organism: Triticum aestivum (bread wheat)
Lineage: Eukaryota; Viridiplantae; Streptophyta; Magnoliopsida; Poales; Poaceae
Exons: 3
Source: RefSeq, a predicted model, not a curated record
UGGAUUUUGAUUAAUAAAGUUGGCUCUUUCCCUAAAAAAAAAACUCGUGGAAAACACGGACUGAGAUCUGAGUCCUAACGUAAUUCGCCGCCUGCCGCCCAGACAAACCGCGAGGCGCCCUUGCAAGCUCAUCUCCGGUCUCCAGCAGUCGUCUUCAAUCUGCUGCAGAUCUAUGGCCUCGGUGACAAGAUCCACGCCAGGCCGGCAUGAGACGAAUUUUUUUCAAGAUCAUCUGCAUUAUGCACGUUGGACGGCCGGCCGGCUUGGCGAUCUAUGACCUCGCAAUUUUAUCUGGGACGCUGUUUUUGCGUGCCGUUGAUCAAUCGAGAAGAGGAAUUUUGGAUAACAUCCCUAAUGAGGUGAUAUUUAAAGCUUCCAUGGGAAAAUUGUCGUGCGAUGAAACGGGAGGAGGCUAGAAUUUUAUUCGAGAAGAUUAGGAACACCACAUUGUUGCUUCUCAAGUUACUGUCUUAAAUGGUUAGUUUACUUUGACUUUGCAACAAACUUGUCAUAAUAAUGUGUGUGAUGAAAUUAUAUUAUUAGAAAAUAUAUGAUUUCGUUUAUUAUUUUCAGUCACAAUAUAUAUAUGUUGGUGUAGUUGUGUUGUUACUUUUUGAACUGAUCUAAUCAUUAGUUUCUACACAUCUUUCGUAAAAAAGUCACUACACAUCUCUGCCCCUUCUCAGUUUUCAUCCUGGAUCCGCCCCUGUUCAGUGGCGGAGCUUGAAAGAAAAAGCUGGGCGGGCCAAACUAAAAAAGCUGGACUGAAAAUGCAUGUUCAACACUCGCCGUAGAAACUGAAACAGUAUUGAGUAAACGAAGUAGUCUGUCAACCAAAUUGUAGAUGGUCCUUUCUCCACAAGGCAUCAACAAAAAUCAGUCCGCAAGUGUCCUUUUUUUUAACUAAAAAACAAGUAGACAGAGAACUUUUGCAGCACCUUCAAAUCCUAAACUGAACUUUUCAACCAUGGGAUUGUGCUAAGAUUACAAAAGAUUCACGAGGCUACUGGUAAGCAUCUGGGUAGUCAAAUCAUUAUCCAACGUUGGAGAAGUAAAUCAUGUAAGCUAAUCUGAACCAACCUACAGCUAAGUCAUGCAGGCUUCAAGUAAAUAGAGAACACCUAAAGAAUCUACAGACGGCAGCUCCCAGGAUCCAAUCGUAAGACAGUAAAAGCAGCCCAAGAUCGUAUUUUUACACUGAACUUGGCGCCGGUGAAGGACGCCAUUGUUGGAAUUAUGUGUCCUGCAACUAUAUUCAAAUUACUUGAAAUUGUUAAAUAUUUGGAAUACCUCAUUAUGAAAUUAUACAUGUAUUUGUACAUGGAAUUGUUUUACAUGUUUAGCAUGAAAAAUUAUCACUUGUUGGAAUGUACUUAAGUAACAUAUGCUUAAGGAAGCUGGUCGAUUAUCAGUGGAAUACAAUAUACAAUUUAUAUUGGAAAGACUACACGGGUACACUGAUAAUUGGAAGGAGCUAGAUCGUAUAGUUAGAUUACAGCUCUAAUGUUGAUCUACAUAAUUAGAGGAAUUUACACUCUAUUAUGGCGCGUUGCUCACAAGCGCGUGCUCCGGGGACAAAACGGGUAAAAUUCGUUAAACAGACAAAUAUGAUCGUGGUUGGUAAUUUGAUCUGGACUCUAUCCCGGAAACUAGUGAAAAAGACUAGGAAUCUUAUAUCUGUAUAAGAGAUGGACUCUUUGAAAAGACAAUAUAAGAAGGUCCCUACUCCCUAGACUCAGAUAUGCGAAUUGUGAGCGGCACCACGGAUAAGCGCAAAGAAAUUAAAGGAGGGAAGGGAUGCUAAUUAUGAAUCCCAAGUACUAUCUAUUGAUUUAUUAGAUUGUUGAUUUUCGGACUAACUUGUUUGAUUGCUAAUCUACUGCAUGUACAUUUAUUGGAAAAUAAGUCUACUCCUUGGAAGAACUUAAGGAGGACUCCGGAUUAAAUGUGCGGAUGCACUGCACAGAGCAAAUGGUUACAUUGAAAAUUGCUAUGGUGGAAAUAUCGUCUGGAAAUUUACACAUAACCUGGAAAGGAAUUUCAGAGAAGUAUUAUUAUUGAGCAUCACUUGUUUGUGGAGGAAGAUGAGAGUUACUCUGAGGACAAGGAUAUUUGCUCUUCAUUUAUUAGUAUUCCUAAUGAUAAUAUUUGCACUAUAUUUAUUUAUUUUGGUCUACUUCUUUAAGUAGUUGGA